This 393-nucleotide ribosomal RNA is filed under the name uncultured bacterium. Its description in RNAcentral is "bacterial SSU rRNA". It matches the Rfam family "Bacterial small subunit ribosomal RNA", at positions 139 to 518 of the family's 1533-position model. The record is from RNAcentral.
CGGGAUAGCCCAGGGAAACCUGGAUCAAUACCGGAUGCGAGGGCGGCCGCACAAGCGGCCGUCGGGAAAGGCGCUUCGGCGCCGGCCGGGGGAUGGGUCCGCGUCCCAUUAGCUAGACGGUGGGGUAACGGCCCACCGUGGCGAUGAUGGGUAGCCGGCCUGAGAGGGUGGACGGCCACAUUGGAACUGAGACACGGUCCAGACUCCUACGGGAGGCAGCAGCUAAGAAUAUUCCGCAAUGGACGAAAGUCUGACGGAGCGACGCCGCGUGGAUGACGAAGGCCGAAAGGUUGUAAAACCCUUUUGCUGAUGAAGAAUAAGCGUGGUAGGGAAUGACCGCGUGAUGACAUUAGUCGGUGAAUAAGCCCCGGCUAACUACGUGCCAGCCGCCGC